Molecule: long non-coding RNA, 4963 nt
Filed under: Homo sapiens (human)
Lineage: Eukaryota; Metazoa; Chordata; Mammalia; Primates; Hominidae
Description: HSALNT0181811
Source: RNAcentral
CAGGUCUGAUUACAAAUAAUGUAAUCUCAGGCACAAGAUGGUAUCAGAAAGAAGAGCAUAUCAGAAAAUCAGGGAUUCAGGGAGUGCGAGCUGGAAGUCCUCUUGGCGUUGGUCAUCUCAUCUACUUGCCACAGGCAGGGCUGUACCUCCUUUGGCCCUGAGAGAUGAUUAUGGAACCUGAAGGAUCUGGAGAUGGGUCCACCCUUCACCAUCAGUGGUCACAUCAGCAGCACAGAUGGUGGCUACAUGAAGUUCUCCAACGGGCUAGUCUGAUGCAGAGACAGCAACUUGUGAAGCCCUGGGGAGGAGGCCUCCCAGAAAGCGCCAGCUGGGCCAAAUGCCCGCUCUCCACACGCCAUCGACCCCUGUGCACAUCCCCAUGACAGCCCAUACAGUCGGUGCCUCCCGUCCUCCUGGCCUGACAAAGUCUCGUCUGCAGUGCCCACUGCCUGCCAUCUGCUUACUGCCCAGCUCCUCCAGUUCUGGGGGAGCCCAUGCAGCUCUGUGCACUGCAUCAGGAGGACUGCGGUAUGGAGAUUAGACUGAGGGAGCAGGAGUGGAUGCAGAGGAGCAGGACAGAGCCUCAUGGUGGUCCAGGGGAGAGGUGAAGAUGAAUUUGACCAGAUGACAGUGGGAGGUGGUGACAAGUGAUUGGAUUCACCAUCUAUCUGGAAGGUAGAGCUGAUAGGACUUACUAAGGAGUUUGAUGGGGCAGAAAGGGCUGACUCCUGGAUUUUUGGCCUGAACUAGGGGAAAGGUGGUGCCAUUUAUCAGGUGGGGAAGACUAGGGGAGGAAGGAGUGUCAGGGGAAUCAUGAGCUCUGUUGUAGACACUAUAAUUUUGAGAUGUAUGCUGGACGGAGCUGCUGAUGAGGCAGCUGGAUAGAGUUCUGGAGAGAAACCCUGUUUGGACAUUUGGAAGCCACCAGCAUCCAGAUAACACUUAAAGGUGUGGACUGGGUGAUAACAAGUAGGGGGCAGUGAGGAGAAAAAGGACUGAUUUUAAUAGAACAAGCAGCGAAUCAACAAGUUGUUCCUUAAAGAGGUGACUCAGUGUGUGCUGGAAUCACCUGCAAUGUGGUCGCUAUAAGUUGUUUCCCUAGCAGGUCCUUGGGAACCGGUAUUCAGAAAUUCUGGGCCUUGGGGAGCAGCUUAGGAAGACAAAUACUCCCAUGUAAUUCUGAUAGAGGCAAUCUUCUGAGAAACUCUGCCUUAGGGGACAGGUAGAGGGGAUGUGGGGAGGUGGAGGGCAAGGGUCACUUCCAGGGCUGGGGUGACCAGAUAGUAGGAUUCUGAAGAAUGUUCCUGUUCUCUCCAGGGUCACUGUGAGGUCUUAAUCUCCACCACGCCCUUCUGCCCCAUGUGGGUAGAGGUAGACAGGUGUGGCACCCUACACCCAGGCCUUUGCAGAUCAUGUACUAGUCUGUACCCCUCCCUGAGCCUCUCAGCUCUACAGAUUAGACAACUUACUAAAGGGAGCCCUCAGCUGCACCCUUGAUGAUGGGCUGUGAUUGACCAAGGAGCCCCAGUGAGGCUCCUGGCUGGGCUCUGCAAGACAGAUGCCAAACACAGCCGUGGCUCCUGUGACUCGAUGAGUUGAAGGGAUGGCAGCCUGCUUUUCCUCAAGGCAGGAAGUCAUCGCGUGAAUAUUCUAACUGUAUUGGCUGCAGGGGUUUGGGGAUCUUCUCCAAGCCGGCGUCCUUACCUUCACACUAAGGGCUAUGAGCUCAUUCACUCUCACAUGGGAAUCCCUAACCCUGAGCCUCACAGAUCCAGGCCAGCCUUGCCAAUUGCUGAAAGACCUUUUCUUGGAUGACUUGUCAUUAUUAAGCCAGAACUCAUCAUCUCCCCUCUCCCUCCACACCUCUGUCUCCCUUCCAUGUCCAUAUUUCGCUUUUCUCAUCAUCGGGUUCAAGUGUGACUAGCACUUCUGAGACCUCCUUCUUUCACUCCAGCCUGUUGCCCCAUCUUGAUAAUGCUUCCUUUAAAAUGUCUUUGAGUCUGUCCCUUUCUCUCUGUUCCCACUGCCCCUGCUCAAUACUGUCAUUUGAUUAGACUAUUGUAUAAGCCUCUCUUAUGAACUGAAUAUUUUUGUCUUCCCCAAAUUCAUGUUGAAGCUGUCACUCCCAAUGUGACGGUAUUUGGAGGUAAAGCCUCUGGGAGGUAAUUGGUUUAGAUGAGGUCAUGAGGAUGGGGCCUCCAUGAUGGGAUUAGUGCCCUUGUAAGAAAGUGGAAGAGAGACCAGAGUUCUUUAUCUCCACCGUGUAAGGCCACAGCAAGAAGGAGGCCGUCUCCAAGCCAGGAAGAGAGCCCUCCCAGGGAACUCACUCAGCUGGCACCUUGAUCCUGCACUUCCCCACCUCCAGAACUGUGAGAGAUAAAUGUCUGUUGUUUAAGCCACCCAGUCCAUGGUGUUUUGUUAUAGUAGCCCAGCCUAAGACAGCCUCCUACCCUGUUUCUCUGCCUCCUGCCUCAUCCUUCAUGUGGAAUACUAGUUUCUUUCACAUCACUUAUCACUGAUUGUAGUAAUACGUUUGUUGUGUUUAUUUGCUUGGUGUUUAUCUUCAUAACCAGAUGACAGGCUCCAUGAAGCCACACUUGUUUGGUUCACCACUCUGUACCCAGGGCUGCACACCAUGUCCAACACAUAACAAGUGCUUCGUAAUGUUUUUUGACAAAAUGAAAUGCUGACUACAAUAAAAGUCUCCAGCCAGGUCUCUUUGCCUCCUGCCCCAUCCUUUCUGAUUCAUGUCUGAUGCUUUGGAUAGAGCCAUAUUCUUAAAACACAAGUUUUAUCCUACCCAGUCCUUCUUCGGCAGAGUGUUUAUUGGGUCCCACAACCCUUUUUGGAGGUUUAUGGGAAAUUAAGUGAAGUUAGGAUCGAGAUGAUAGUGGGAAAAUGUGCUGUGUGUCAUUAAUAACAAUGCAUUUAAUUUUAAAUUGGGGUUUACUUCAAACCCAAAACUGUGGGUUUGCUUUUUUAACCCAUGAGCACAACAGGAAAUGAAUGAGUCAAGCUUCCUAGUAUCUAGGGUCCUCUAGGUUGAGGCUUGAUCAAAUCAGCCCUGACUGCCCAGACCUGCCACUUAGGCAGCAGACCUGUCAGUGGUCCCAGGUGGUCACAGCCUACAGCUUCCCUUGCUGUGCUGUUCCCAUGUGGGGCUCAGAGACCUUCCACCCAGCAGAGCAGCAUGGGCUCUGGGGGUGGGACCCAGCUUCCUAGGGACUGUGUGUCUUCUGUGAAAGUGUGAACACUGAGGCCGGGGGAUGAAUAUAUGCUGGGUAGACAAGGCACACCCUGACUAUAGCUAUUUACAAAGUUGGGAAAACACAGUUUAUUGAAUUUCCUCUUCACUCAAUGGUGGCCCAUUUACCCCCUCUCUGUACUAAGAGGAAGUUCCAUUAGCUCACACAAAGACAGCAUUACGCAUUCCUCAGCUUGGAAAAGCCCUUGAAGGAGAUUGCUCAGUUGAAGAACAGCUGGGGCCUUCUGUUGGGGGCUGUAAUCCAAAUUCCCAAGAAAUCUGCAAGUGUCUCAUCAGCCCCGGCUGCUUGGAAGGACUCGCUCAGUUUCUCCCAAGGGCCUGUCUGUGGUGAGUGGUUACAGAGCAGCCUCAAAGCAGAGAUGAACCAGCGCAAACUCCUACUCAUUCCACAGAAACGGAGCAGGCAGGGCCUGCACCAAGGGCUGUGUCUUCUGACUUCCUUCUGUCCUGCAAGCUGCUCUUUGAUCUGUCGUAUCCAACCAAACUGGCUGCAGUUCCUUGAAUGUAAUUCCUUUUACUCUCUGAAUCUUUAUAUUUAGACCUUAGGGGCCUUUUCCAUGGGGAAUAAGCCAUCGCUAACACCUCAUUUCCAGGAGAAAGUGACCAACACUACUUUUCUUUCCAAUAUUGACAAGGAGGGCUCUAGGGCAAAAGCCUGAGCAGGUCUGAAAUGGCGUGAUAUUAGUCAAGUUCUCUGAAGAUGAUAGGAUCAGCACUUCCUCAGAACUAGUUAUUUUCUCAGAAUGAACUGGGUGAGGCAAGAUUGGAGAUGACACAGGGGAAAAGAGGUGAGGUGUCCCCAGUCACCUUCUAGGGGAUUCAGGUAGGACGAAGAGAAAAGCACACCCAGGAAGCUCAGGCCGCGGGCCUGGGUUUGUUCUACCCACUGGGCUGAGCAUGGGGAGAAAUUCAAACCCACAUGGGGUUUUUCAUGGAGGGAGCAGGCUGCUUCUAGAAUAGAGUGCAGAUGGCUUCCGCACUUAGGAGAACCACCACUGGGACAUGCCUCCUGGGCAAGGGGAGCCAGGGACAGGGCUCUGGGAACAGAGCUCCAGGGAGGCCCAGUUUGCUGUCUUCCUGGAAAGGAGGGGUUUCCAGGUUCUUCUCUCCACAUUGUCAGAACUCACAUCCAAAACGUUGCAUUGUGCUUUCCACCUCUUCCUUUUCUGUCUUCUGAAAGAGUCCCGCUGCACACUCCUUAUCGCUUUCAUUUUCACUUGUUUCCAAGAAAAGCUGUCCAUUUUUCUUUACAGACUCAACAGCCAAUGACAGCUAGUGGCACAUAGUACCACAUGCCUGGCACCAUGUUAAACUUUUUAUGUGCAAUUUCAUUUACACCUCACAACAUCCUCAUGGGGAGUUGUCAACUCCACGUGACAGGUGGGGAAAUUAAAACUUGGAGAGGAUAAGUAAUGGGCCCAAGGUCACAAUACAGGUAGCAUGAGGACUCCCUGGGUCUGUCAGAUUUAAGCCUGAGUCCUCAGCCCUGUUUCCUUAAAGUGACAUCACACAUCCCACACAUUAUUACCCUCCUCAUUAUCAACAACCGAGUCCUCCAUGAGCCAAUGUGCCAUCAGCAAUCUGACUAGUUUCACACGAUUCCUGUGGUCUUGACAAUUUAUUGGAAUAAAAAACAUGUAUCACUUAUUGACAGAGCUUUGUGUUCAAGGCACAUUCAUACCCAUUUCCUCAGCAGAA